This 712-nucleotide long non-coding RNA is filed under the name Rattus norvegicus (Norway rat). RNAcentral describes it as "long non-coding RNA NONRATT004777". Lineage: Eukaryota; Metazoa; Chordata; Mammalia; Rodentia; Muridae. The record is from RNAcentral.
ACAGCAUUAAACAGUUGCUCCCUGUUUCAUCCUGAGGCACCCAGGGAGACCUUUCUCCUGUUUCCUCUUUGGGAUCCUGUCUGAUCACUUGUUCUCCAUGGGUUCCCAGGCACCUGGCCUUGGCUGGGCUCAUGGGGAGAAAAUAAAGGAUACGGGGCUCGUUUGAAGCUGCCUGGGAGAGGGACGGUACUUGGCCUCACCACUGAGUGCACCCAGACUGACUGGGACUAUAACAGAUGUUUGAAAGUGACAAGGAAGGGCUGGUGUAGUUCCGUGGUAGAAUACUUGCCUAGCAUUUGCAAGGCCCUGGGUUCCAUACCCAGGACCAAAUGCACAAUAAAGGAUAAAGCGGGCUGAGUGCAUCCAUGAGGUUGAUGAACAGAUGUGAGGAGGCUGUACAGGCCACCACCUCUAUCCAGGAAACCGCCCGGCUGCUUCCUGCCUGCGGAGCUGCCUGUCUUACUGGUUGUCUUUCUACAGACACCCCUAUCCUGGCAAGAGCCAGAAGGUGAGCGGGCCAGCUUCUGCAUGCACAAGCGAUCAGCAUCAUGGGGUAGCACAGACCACCGAAAAGAGAUCACCAAGUUGAGGCAACAGCUGCAGAGGACAAAGCUGAGCCGCAGUGGGAAGGAGAAGGAGCGGAGCUCCCCUGUCCAAGGGGACCAUGCUGUACUGGGAGCAGUGAGGGUAUCCCUUCCUAGCCUCCCCGCAG